GGACGGGUGAGUAACACGUGGGUAACCUGCCCUGUAAGACUGGNGAUAACUCCNNGGGAAACCGGGGCUAAUACCGGAUGCUUGAUUGAACCGCAUGGUUCAAUCAUAAAAGGUGGCUUUCAGCUACCACUUACAGAUGGACCCGCGGCGCAUUAGCUAGUUGGUGAGGUAACGGCUCACCAAGGCGACGAUGCGUAGCCGACCUGAGAGGGUGAUCGGCCACACUGGGACUGAGACACGGCCCAGACUCCUAACGGGAGGCAGCAGUAGGGAAUCUUCCGCAAUGGACGAAAGUCUGACGGAGCGACGCCGCGUGAGUGAUGAAGGUUUUCGGAUCGUAAAACUCUGUUGUUAGGGAAGAACAAGUACCGUUCGAAUAGGGCGGCACCUUGACGGUACCUAACCAGAAAGCCACGGCUAACUACGUGCCAGCAGCCGCGGUAAUACGUAGGCGGCAAGCGUUGUCCGGAAUUAUUGGGCGUAAAGCGCGCGCAGGCGGUUUCUUAAGUCUGAUGUGAAAGCCCCCGGCUCAACCGGGGAGGGUCAUUGGAAACUGGGGAACUUGAGUGCAGAAGAGGAGAGUGGAAUUCCACGUGUAGCGGUGAAAUGCGUAGAGAUGUGGAGGAACACCAGUGGCGAAGGCGACUCUCUGGUCUGUAACUGACGCUGAGGCGCGAAG
Molecule: ribosomal RNA, 679 nt
Filed under: uncultured Bacillus sp.
Lineage: Bacteria; Bacillati; Bacillota; Bacilli; Caryophanales; Bacillaceae
Description: bacterial SSU rRNA
Rfam family: Bacterial small subunit ribosomal RNA
Source: RNAcentral